GUCCACGCCGUAAACGAUGGGUGCUAGGUGUCGCGGGCUUUGACCCCUGCGGUGCCGUAGCUAACGCAUUAAGCACCCCGCCUGGGGAGUACGGCCGCAAGGCUAAAACUCAAAGGAAUUGACGGGGGCCCGCACAAGCGGUGGAGCAUGUGGUUCAAUUCGACGCAACGCGCAGAACCUUACCUGGGCUAGAAAGUGCGAGGACUUGGUCGAAAGAUCGGGGUGCUCUUCGGAGAACUCGUAGUUAGGUGCUGCAUGGCUGUCGU
RNAcentral lists this ribosomal RNA (266 nucleotides) under uncultured bacterium. RNAcentral's name for it is "partial 16S ribosomal RNA". It matches the Rfam family "Bacterial small subunit ribosomal RNA", at positions 793 to 1055 of the family's 1533-position model. The record is from RNAcentral.